Lolium rigidum is the source of this 1411-nucleotide long non-coding RNA. RefSeq lists it as uncharacterized. The transcript has 5 exons. NCBI's taxonomy places the organism in Eukaryota, Viridiplantae, Streptophyta, Magnoliopsida, Poales, Poaceae. The record is from RefSeq and is a predicted model, not a curated record.
CAGCGCCACAGUCCUAUCCCCUUCCCCGUCACCUCUCUCUACCAACGAGCAACUCCAUAUCGAGCUCGAAGCCGCCGAUAGUCCGUGUGCCGCCCUUGCCACCACCCACCCCCAUCGACGACCAGCCGCUGCAAGCCUCAAUGACCAGCAGUAGCACGCGGUCCUUCCGUGGGAUGCAAGCGGAAGGCGCUGCCUGGCCCCGGCGACGAUGACCCGUAUCUCCAUUGACCGGCAAAGUUACCCUGGAAAAGGAUCCAACCAUUGAGCAUAUUAUUACUCCAAAACUUGGCAUAUGAGUGUGCGAAGCAUAUGCUUGUCAUCCUGCCUGACAUGAGUUCAUAUGCAGAUGCACUUCGUGAAGUUUCUGCUGCUCAAGCGUAUGUAUACUCACUUAGCAACUAUCUAUGAGAGUGUUCUGGUCAUAUAGAAGGAAGAAAAGGAUUAAUUACGCACUUACCUAUUUUAAAUAUGUUUAAUGAUGGUCAGUUUAUGAUACAUUGUUACUUUUCAGCCAAUCUUUUAUGAGCUGACGUAUUUUCUUUCCAACAUUGUACGCUAAAUUCAUACCAUUUGUUCAGUAUUACCCAUCUAACUCCUGACCUUAUUUACAAGUACCAAGGGCAUAUCUAUGUCUACAAGAAGCUACAUAAUUGACAGGCUGUCAUCCGGAAUCCUGAUCCAAACAAGAAAGAUGACUAGACUUGCGAUAGUCAAUUUCCUGAGCUGAGGUGGCAAGGAAGCAUCCAAAACUGCAACUAUGUUGGAAAGAAAUUAUGUGCACAUAUUAGUAUAACUGGUUUACUGUACAUGUUUUCUUCACGAGGCUGUAGUGUCUAGCUAGAGCGGUGGUCAUUCAGAGUUCAACCUUUCUCCAAAAUAUGCCCUAUUCAGCCUGGAAUGAAAACAAGUUUAGAAGUACGCGUGAUGCCACUCGAAGCUACCGAUGGCAUCUGCUUGCAGGUGAGUUCCUGGUGCCAGCUUAUGGUAAGUUAUGGCUACACGGUGUGCCUAAAAUCGAAUUGCAUCGAACUCCCAUAAACGUCUUCUAAGUGCAAUAGUAGUUAAUCUAUGAUCUAUCAUCUAAGGUAUGUGCCAAUAUGCACUCAAUUUACCUUAUGUGUUGCUAAUUGUUUUAUAUCCAACUCUUGGCAAAUGGUGUAGUUGUAGAUAUAUGAGACUAUGUUCACUCAUAAACUAAUUUGAUGUAAAAUUCCUUUACAUGUGGGUUGUUUUAGUUCAGAUGCUGCAUUGCAAUCUAGAACUAUGAGGCGGCAAUGCCAGCUUUAAUUUGGUUUGUGUCCUAAAAAAAAGAAAGCCAUUGUGUAGGUGUAACCGAUGUAUAACUGUUCUAAUAUUCACUCAAUUUAACUUAAUUUUUAUCCUCCAAAUUUUAUCUCUUUUACUGCAGGAA